RNA transcript from Betta splendens (Siamese fighting fish), 4910 nucleotides. It is a transcript of the gene named family with sequence similarity 184 member B, with no coding region annotated. NCBI's taxonomy places the organism in Eukaryota, Metazoa, Chordata, Actinopteri, Anabantiformes, Osphronemidae. The record is from RefSeq and is a predicted model, not a curated record. The transcript has 19 exons.
AGCACUGCAGCAGUGCGCUUCUCGAGCUGUCUCCGGUAAUGUUCCAUAGGAUACACACGCCCCUCUCCGCCCCUGCCGCGAGACAGGUGGUCGGGCUGUAUACCUCCAUCCCCGAGCGCUCCCUCGUCGUAUAAGAAAGGAAAUAUCCGUUGCCGGCGGGGAAGGAUCGGUCGGCGCGAGCGCGUCCCCGAUGGACUUCCAGCGUGUGACCUCCGCGAUCACCGGGCGGACAGCCGAGGAGGGGGGCCACGAGCGGAACGCACGAGGAGAUCCCCGCCGAUCUACUACCCAAUGUGUCCCAGCGAAUUGCUCGAGCUGCUGUUCACGUGAGGGGGUCUAGCGACGGAGGAACGAGAUGCACGAAUAGAAAGUUGUCACGAUUCUGGUGGGAAUUCGUCAUCCGAGAGGAUCAUUUCUGACUGUCCUCCGGUCCUGGAAGUUCCCUUGGGGGGGGGGUUUCAUUAUGGCCUCGGGCGCCGGUAAAGCCACACAGCCCCCCGGGCCCCCCUCCGCUCUUAACGGGACUGCGGCAGAGUUCCCGAACAUCGAGCAGGAGCUGUACGACUACCAGAUGCACAGCAAGAUGUGCAAGAAGAUCGCUCAGCUCACCAAGGUGAUUUAUUCUCUGAACAUGAGGAAUGAGGAGCAGGAGGCGGCCCUGCAGGCCUUGAGCCACGCUCAUCACCAGGAGCUGCACCGCAUCCUGAUGGAGACGUGUCAGGAGGGGGAGGGCUCGGCGCUGAGGACGCGGCUCCUGGAGCUGCAGGACUCUCUGGACGAGCAGCAGCGCGUCGGCGCCCAGGUGCAGGCAGACUUUGAGAUUUUUCGCAUCCAGGCGGAGGAAAGAGAGCGUGAAACGGAGGCAGAGCUGAGGAAGGAGUUCGAGGAGAGGCUCCAGGCUGCAGAGGAGGAGCUUCAGGAGGCCAAGGCCCAGAUCAGCGAUGCCCAGAAGGAGAACCUGGAGCUGAGCGAAGAACUGGAGAAGGCAGAGCGGCAGAUCCAGGAGCUGGAUACCAAAUGUGGAGAGCUGCAAAAAGCUGCCGACGAGGAGAAGAAGAGGAACGAGGAGCGACAACGAGAGGAUGGGGAGAAAAAUAAACAGGAGCAGGAGAGGCGAACGGAGGACUGUGAAGACCUGGACAGGGUGGGAGUCCUCUUAGAGGAGGUGAAGGCGCUGAAGGAGCAGAGGGAUCAGGCGGAGGAAGAAAAGAGGCGAGCGGUGGCAGACGAGCGGGGGCGUUGGGAGCAAAGGAUGAAUGAGGAGAAGGAGGAAAUGAGGAAGAAGAUGGAGGCCGAAUGGAGGGAGGAGCGGCAGAAGCGGGAGGAGAGGGAGGAGGAGGAGAAGAAAGGAAUGCACAGCGCGCUCAGAGAAAGAGUGAAGAGGGCUGAGGCCGAGGUGGAAAGUCACCUGGAGCGGCUGGCGGAAAGCAAGAGGAACACAGUCAAGCUGCAGGAGCGGAUACAGGACCUGGAGGAGGAGCUGGAGCUGGACCGGAGGUGUGUGUCGGAGGCCGAGGGCGUAGCUAAGCGGGCGGAGGAGGAGCUGGCGGUCGCCAAGGAGCGGCUCCUGCUGCAGGAGGACGAGCUGCAGAGCAGAGCAGAAGAACUGCUGAACCGCGGCGGCUGUGAGGUGUGUGUGUGCACUGAGGUGGAGGAGCUGAGGAGCCAGGUGAGCCGUCUGCAGAGCAGGAACAGGGAGCUGGAGCUUCAGAGCAGUGGCAGGAACAGUGACCACGCGCGGCAAAUACGGCAGCACGCCGAGGCCCUGUCCAGCCUGCGUUCAGAGAUGGUGAGAGCCCAGACUGAGGAGCUGCGUCGCAUCCAGAAGCACGCGGACGACGAGAGAGACAAGCUACAGGCGGCGAUCGAGAGGGAGCGGGAGAACGUCCGCAAGGAGAGGGAGCAGGAGCGGGAGCAGCUGGAGAAGGACCGAGGCAGGCUGCACAGGGAGCGGGAGGAGGAGAGGGAGGCGACGCACAAGGAGGUGGAGGAGGUCAAAGAGCGGCUGCGGAGGGAAAAAGAGGAGGAGGUGGAGCGGCUGCGCAAGGAGCUGGAGGUGGAGCGGGUCCGCGUCCGCGCCCAGCUGGACAAGAACAUCGAGGCGGAGCGGGCCAACGUGCAGCAGAAGCUGGAGGAGGAGAAGAGGAGGCUGGUGGAGAAGGCGGAGGAGGACAGGAAGCGGCUGAAGGAGCAGGUGCGCAAGGCCAUAGAGGAGGUGAUGAGGAGGCACGCGGCGGAGCUCCACAGCGUCCAGGAGGCCCUGAGCUCCGAGAAGAGGACCAACCACGAGGUCUGUGCGCGUUUAGAAGGGGAGAGGAGAACGGGCGAGGAGCUACGCAGCAGUCUGGAAAGAGAGAAGGAGGAGCUGAGGGCCAAGCUAAAAGAUGCUACGAAGGAGAUCUGCAGGUUGGAGUCCGUGAUCCAACAGCAGGACCGCAAAGACAAGGCGGCGCCCGACGCCGCGGCCGCGUGCGGCCCGCAGUGCUCUCACCUGGAGGAGGAGCUCCACCAGACCCGAGGUCAGCUGACGCGGCUUCAGGAGGAGGCGGACAGGCAGCGGGACAAGCAGCACAGGGAGCUGGCGGCCCUGCGGGCGGACAAGCAUCGGCUGGAGGACAAGGUCCUGGAGCAGAGCCGGCUGAACGCAGAGAGGAGCCUGCUGGAGCAGAGCCAGCGGCACACGGAGGACCGCAUCAGGGCAGAGUGCGAGGAUCGUCUCAGAGCGGAGUUCAGGAUAGAGAUGAACGCCGCCGUCGCCGAGAGCGAGCAGCGGUGGCAGAGCCGGGAGCAGGAGCUGCAGACGCAGGUGUCUGAGCUGCAGGGUCAGGUGGACGAGCUGCAGUCCCAGGAGGAGACAAAGAAGGCGUGUCAGGAGGACGAUUCCCAUGGCAACCCUGAAAUUGACAAGCUGAGGAAGGAGGUCCAGGAGACCAAAGAGAUCAACAAGAAGCUGAGGGAUCUGCUGCAGGAGCCCCAGACCCAGAGCCAGUCAUUAGCUGAGGAGAAACAGAGUCAUGCCAUGGCUCUGCAGGCACUGGAGAGACAGGCCAAGGAAGAUCUGCUGUCUGAGAGGAACAGACUACAGACGCUGCACCACCUGGAGCUAGAUAAGCAGCGCGCCGAGCUGACCCAGCAGUACACGGAGUGGAGCCGGCAGAUGACCCAGAGACACAUGCAGCAGAUAGAAGACCUACAGGCACAGCUACAGGCACACACACAGAUGAUGGCCCUGCAACAGGAUUUGAAGCAGCAGAACCAGAAUCAGGUGUUCGAGCGACAGCUAGAUGAGAGUCGCUGUGCGAUGCUGGAGCUGCAGAGGGAGAACACAACUCUGAAAAAGCAAUUAAAGGAGAGGUCGAUACAGGAAAAACCUGAACCUGAAGAGAAAGAAGAAGAAAGUGCCGACAUGAGGAAGAAGAGAGACGCACAGUUGGAGGAAGAAGCACAACGCCUGAAGGAGGAGGUCGAGAAACUGAGGGUGGAGAUGGAGAAGCUGGAGGAGUCACAGAAACACUGGGAGGAGAGGAAAGAGGAGGACAUAAAGGAAGAGGAGAUGGACGAGGAGAAGAGGAAGGAACGCGAGGAGGAGAAGCGGAGGGAGGAGGUGGAGGAGAUCAGGAGGGAGCACAAGAGGGAGAUGCAGAAUCUGGUGUCGGAGUACAGCAGCGCCCAGACGAACCUGCAGGCUCGAAUAGUGGCCCUGGAGAACGAACUGCGCGAACGCGAGGAGCGGUGCAGGAGGCGCGAGCCCCGAUGCGACGACCUGCAGCUGGGGAGGCUCCAGGAGAGGCUGACGGAGAGAGACCAGCUCAUCAAACGAUUGGUGGAAGAGAGGCAUCAGCUGCAGCUCCACCCUCCUGUUGCCGGGGACAACAGCACCCUCAGGCUCCGCGACAGCAAGUCCCGCCCCGGGAGCGUCACGCCAACCAUGAGGAAGCGCGGGGAGUCGCCCCCGCGCGUCACCAGCAUUCCCGGCGGCGGCAGCAGCGGCGGCAGCUACGACAGGAGCGUCUUCCUGCCCCACUCCUCGUCAUCCUCCUCUUCCUCCUCCUCCGUCCAGCAGCACUCCUCCUCCACCCUCCCCCACCAGUCCUCCUCCCAUCCUCAGGCCGCCCCGCACUACUCCACCUCCUCCCUUCCGCACAAGCACACGUCCCUCUCCCUCGGCCAGCAUUCCUCCCCCUCCCUCCCCCGCCCCGCCCGGGCCCGGACGUCCUGCAUCCCCCCGACCCCCGCGCCCACUGCCCCGCUGCCCGUCUGCCCGUCGGCGCAGACGGGAAUCCGAUACGUGUACCCCUCCUGCCAGGAGCCCCAUGCACAUCUACAGGCCCAGUCAAUCAGGGGUCCAUUCCUGGAGCCAAGGGGGACAGAGGGCCUGAAGCAGGAGUGGUUCACCAAAUACUUCUCCUUUUGAGCACAAGCGCAUUACGCAGCAGCUGCAAGUGCAUCUCUUCAUACAUGUCAUUGCUUCUUCUACAUCUGUUUGCUCGGACACACACACACACACACACACACACAGACGUAUGGGCUCAUCACCAGCAAGGCCACCUCGAACAUUGCCUCAAAGCUCAACCAAAAAGUGCUUCUCAGACACAUGCCUGACCUCUUCUCAGCCGGAUCUUGUUUGUAUAGUUUGGAAUGUCUCCAUAUCUUCUUUUAUUUAUACCAGUCUUCCUUUUUUGAAACCCAAACGUUUGCUCUGAUCUCAUCCCACGGUUUCUUGCAGGCAUAUGUGCAUUUGUUGAGUCUCGUCAUGUGUCUCCUGGGUUAUGGAAGCAUUCGACAUGUUCAAUCAAGAUCCUCGUCAGAACAGACACACACGUCUCACCAUACCAAAAUUAAGCUUCUCUCAAUGCAAAAAUGUAUAAUAAUUUUAAUGAACAAAUUGAAUAAAAUAUUUUGUUUUUGUA